Lepisosteus oculatus (spotted gar) is the source of this 699-nucleotide long non-coding RNA. RefSeq lists it as uncharacterized. Lineage: Eukaryota; Metazoa; Chordata; Actinopteri; Semionotiformes; Lepisosteidae. The record is from RefSeq and is a predicted model, not a curated record.
AUCCUGUUUGUGUUAUAAAUAUUUUGUGUUCAGUUUGGGCACCGUGUUACAAAACAAAGUUUACCCUGGAAUCAGCACCACGAAGAGUACCCAGACACGUUCAAACUUUGCCCUACUCUGACAGGCUAAAGGAACUGAAUCCUUGUUGGACUGAAAAGAGAUGUCUACCAGGGCACCUAAUUCAAGUAAUCAAAAUCCUCAAAGACGUCCAUAAAGCCCAGACAGCAGACUUUCUCUGACUCAACAGGAAAUCACAAACCAGAAGACACAACUGGAAACUAAAACUGAGAACGGGAGGCACCUCUGUACACAAAGGGUUGUAGGAGUGUGGAACAAGGACGAUCGACAACUAUCUGACACCGAUCCCCUGGUUUCUUUCAAGACACAGCUGGCCCUCCACUGUGUCAUGCUAAACGUACUCAUGCGACUGUUUGGCGCUCAGUGGGCAGCAGGGUUUUGCCGAAGAGGAGGGAGUGUUCCAUCAGCUGGGGCGAUGGUGCCGAAGAUGAGGAAGAUGCAGAGUCCUGCCGUGGCCCAGCGCGUGCAGGGCCAGCCUCAUUCCUCGGAUGCCCGUGCAGACAGCCAGAGGAGUUUGCUGUGCAAAUCCGCCCUAGAAACAACAUGUUUGACUUCAGCUGGAGCGCUGUCACGCCGCCUAAAUCAACCAAUUGAAAAAUAAAAACAAAUCAUUAAAACAAA